Magnolia sinica is the source of this 611-nucleotide RNA transcript. It is a transcript of the gene named DNA mismatch repair protein MSH4-like, with no coding region annotated. The record is from RefSeq and is a predicted model, not a curated record. Lineage: Eukaryota; Viridiplantae; Streptophyta; Magnoliopsida; Magnoliales; Magnoliaceae. The transcript is spliced from 2 exons.
CGAAGACUCUACUACAUUUUUAUGAUCCCAUGGUGAUCAUUGCCCACCCGAACAAGCUCGCACCAGAUGGUAUGGUUGGAGUUUCGGAGCUGGUUGAUAGAUGUUAUACGUCAACCAAGAAUGUGCUGAUUCUUGAUGACAUUCUGGGUUUUGAUAGUCUUCUUUCAAAUGUUCACCCUAACACUAAAUUGCGCAGGUUAUCAUGGCUCGUGGGUGCUUUGAUGAUACUAAGCUUUUCAUCAAUGUUUCAUAGGAGGCUGUGUUGGUUAAAAGUUUGGCUGCCAAGGAACCAUCUGCUCUUGCCUUGGAUACUUAUUACAAGCAGUAUUAUCUCUGUUUGGCUGCUGCUGCUACUACUAUCAAAUGGUAAUCCAAUUCUGCAUGCAUUUGAGUUCUACCUAUUUUUCUAUUCAUGUUGUAACUUCCACUCAAGAGCGUAUCUGAUAUAGAGUGGAUGAUCCCAACCAACAAUGAAUGAGAUUAACGCCUCCAAAAGAGGAAGAGUUGAUGAGUGUGUGCAUGUAGACAAUGAGUUGAGAAGUGUGUGCAGGGUUAGGCAUGCAGGACUCGAUACCGAGUCGGGUCGAGUUCGGGUUAGGUCGAUUUCAAAA